AGUGAACGCUGGCGGUAGGCCUAACACAUGCAAGUCGAACGGCAGCACAGAGGAGCUUGCUCCUUGGGUGGCGAGUGGCGGACGGGUGAGGAAUACAUCGGAAUCUACUCUGUCGUGGGGGAUAACGUAGGGAAACUUACGCUAAUACCGCAUACGACCUACGGGUGAAAGCAGGGGAUCUUCGGACCUUGCGCGAUUGAAUGAUCCGAUGUCGGAUUAGCUAGUUGGCGGGGUAAAGGCCCACCAAGGCGACGAUCCGUAGCUGGUCUGAGAGGAUGAUCAGCCACACUGGAACUGAGGCACGGUCCAGACUCCUACGGGAGGCAGCAGUGGGGAAUAUUGGACAAUGGGCGCAAGCCUGAUCCAGCCAUACCGCGUGGGUGAAGAAGGCCUUCGGGUUGUAAAGCCCUUUUGUUGGGAAAGAAAUCCAUCUGGUUAAUACCCGGGUGGGAUGACGGUACCCAAAGAAUAAGCACCGGCUAACUUCGUGCCAGCCGCCGCGGUAA
RNAcentral lists this ribosomal RNA (506 nucleotides) under uncultured bacterium. RNAcentral describes it as "partial 16S ribosomal RNA". It matches the Rfam family "Bacterial small subunit ribosomal RNA", at positions 29 to 523 of the family's 1533-position model. The record is from RNAcentral.